UGAUAGUGCAGCCCUAAGUGGGUGGUAAACUCCAUCUAAGGCUAAAUAUGACCACGAGACCGAUAGCGAACAAGUACCGUGAGGGAAAGUUGAAAAGCACUUUGAAGAGAGAGUUCAAGAGUACGUGAAACCGUUUAGGGGUAAACCUGAGAAACCCGAAAGGUCGAAGGGAGAAAUUCAUUCGCGUUUCGCAGUCGGCGUGAGGCGAUCGAGUGACGGAACGCGUCUUCGGACGUUUUCUGCACCUUUUGUUUUUCGAUCCGAUAGCGAACGCGUGCACUUUUCUCCUGGUAGGACGUCGCGAUCCGUUGGGUGUCGGUCUACGGCUCACGGUGGAGCCCGGAUGUACGGCUUGCCGUCACGUCCGGACCCGUGUGUCCCGGCUGACUCGCUCGACGGUAUACGAAUGGUUUAAGGCCGCUCUCGCGAGCGUUCGGCUCGUCGCAAGCGCGUCAAAUGUGUC
RNAcentral lists this ribosomal RNA (463 nucleotides) under Liophloeus lentus. RNAcentral's name for it is "partial large subunit ribosomal RNA". It matches the Rfam family "Eukaryotic large subunit ribosomal RNA", at positions 275 to 613 of the family's 3401-position model. Lineage: Eukaryota; Metazoa; Arthropoda; Insecta; Coleoptera; Curculionidae. The record is from RNAcentral.